RNAcentral lists this ribosomal RNA (513 nucleotides) under uncultured bacterium. RNAcentral's name for it is "partial 16S ribosomal RNA". It matches the Rfam family "Bacterial small subunit ribosomal RNA", at positions 28 to 507 of the family's 1533-position model. The record is from RNAcentral.
GACGAACGCUGGCGGCGUGCUUAACACAUGCAAGUCGAACGAGAGCGUAGAGAAAGCUUGCUUUUUCUACAAUCUAGUGGCAAACGGGUGAGUAACGCGUAAACAACCUGCCCUACGGAUGGGGACAACAGCUGGAUACGGCUGCUAAUACCGAAUACGUUCCGAAAGUCGCAUGACUAUCGGAAGACAGGAUGGCCUCUAUUUAUAAGCUAUCGCCGGAGGUGGGGUUUGCGUCUGAUUAGCUAGGUGGGGGGGUAACGGCCCACCAAGGCGACGAUCAGUUGCCUGUCUGGGGGGAUGGACGGCCACAAUGGGGCCGGGACACGGUCCCGGCUCCUACAGGGGGGAGCCGGGGGGAAUCUUUCGCAAUGGGCGACAGCCUGACGGAACAACUCCGCGUGAGUGGAGGAGGCCUUCGGGUUGUAAAGCUCUGUUAUACGGGGAGAAUAAUCUUGUGGUUAAUACCCAUGGGGAGUGACGGUACCGUAAGAGAAAGCAACGGCUAACUACGUG